This is a long non-coding RNA of Pygocentrus nattereri (red-bellied piranha), 1233 nucleotides long. RefSeq lists it as uncharacterized. The record is from RefSeq and is a predicted model, not a curated record. NCBI's taxonomy places the organism in Eukaryota, Metazoa, Chordata, Actinopteri, Characiformes, Serrasalmidae. The transcript has 5 exons.
UCUCUGUGUGACUGCUGCUCUGCUGCUGCCUCUCUGCUGUGGUACCAAAAUUCAUCCUCAAUAUGAUGGAGUGACACAAAUUCCAGAUUAUGCAGAUUACACCUUUGACUAUGACGGUAAUUCAACAUUCAGUUAUGAGAUGUAUGAAAUUCUCAGUCAAGGAAAAGAAACAGCACCUGGCAGUAACGUGAACAAGCUGGCUUCAAAAACAGCACAUGGAUUCUAUGCUGUACUACUGGGACUGACAGUACAACAGUUCUGCCUACAAAUAUGAAUGGGGCUGCACAACAAAGGAUCUGAAGCCACAGCGAGAGACCAGUCUAGAUGUCCAGGCAAUUUACCAGAGGAUGCACCAUUUCCUUCCUUCUUAAUCUUCAUAUUAUACAUAAGGUUAUUUUUUACUUGUACAUAAAUAUUCAACACAAUUGCAUCAACUCAAAGAGUAUAUCAGCCCCCUGAAACCUGAAGCUGCAAUCUUUCUAUUUUUCACUGACACCAUGAGCUGGCUUUCUGCAAAUGGAUUAAGCCUAGUCCUCUUUAUAUAGGUUCCAUGCUGAAUGGAGAUUCUCCAUGGUAAGGAAAAUGUAGUCCAGGUUACGGCUAAUGGGGUCAAUUUCCAGGGACUUUACUGUAACACUUCACUGGGCUAGGACCGGGUUCAAGACAACUGACAGAUACCUACAUAUACAUUUUUUACUUUCUUGGGUGAAACUGACUAAAGCACCCUUUAUGAUAACUGCUGCUUGUUGGAAUAGGCUUUUAUGAAUGUUAAUGUAGAUUUAGGUCAGCUGUCAUAAAAGGCUUAUGCAGGUGUCUUGUCUUACAAAUGCUGCCCUUCAGUAAAGUGUUACUAAUAUUGUAGUCAGCUAUGGCACUGUAAUGGCCUUAAGUAUUCAUUUCUUUAAGAAAUGCACCCAAUAACACCUAAAACAAGAGAUGGAAAAAAAAACUAGGCCAAGAAACUGCUGUCUUCAGGUGAUAGGAAACAAGAUUACUCAACUCAUGCACAUUUCAUUUCAACAGGCCAUUUUUCAAAGCCUACUGCAGAAUUAUAUGAACUACUUUUUUUUAAAGAUGAUUUCCAUUAAAUACACUGAGUCAUUAAUGUAUAUGAUCCUUUCUCACCUACAAGAGCCUCUACUUUGUGAUAAACUGUCUCUGGUCUUCAUUGGACACAAACGAUGUAAACAUGUUUAAAACAUUACAAUAAAUGGUUCAACACAUUUGGGAAAA